This 1048-nucleotide long non-coding RNA is filed under the name Homo sapiens (human). Its description in RNAcentral is "HSALNT0179695". The record is from RNAcentral. Lineage: Eukaryota; Metazoa; Chordata; Mammalia; Primates; Hominidae.
CAGUAAUCCAAGUUAUCAGAGAUUUGGACCCAAAGUAAAGUCAUGGCAAUGAUAUACAGAUGUGGGAGAUAAACACCACAGGACUUAAUGGCUAAGGAAAUGUGGAGCAGGAAGGAAAGGAUGAAAGAGGGGGAAAUGAAUAUGUCCUGUCUAACUUACAGGUUUUUUGUUUGAGUGACUGGGAGGAUGGCAUUGCCAUUAACUGUGAAAUGGGAAGAACUUAACUUACCAGCAUAUAGAUGCCAUGGCAGUGGAUGGAGCCUUCCAAGGAGUGUUUUGGGUGAGAAGAGGACUAAAUGGAGCCACUUGAGGGAACUAGCUUUAAGAGACAUAAAGGGGGCUGUGAAGAAAACUGAAAAAUAGAGUUGUUUGGAAAACCAGAAAUAAACUAUGGAAAACAUGAAGAGUGCAGAAAAGUAGGAAUGAGGAAAAUGUGAUGUGGAAAGAAGAAUCAUCAGAAUAGCUUAACUGAACCAAAGACCAGCCUAAGAACAAGUUCAUUUUGAACCUUUCAGCAAUCAAACAAUUGGUACAUCAUGCCUUUCCUAGGGUUGAAAAAAAUGGUGAAAGCACAUUCAGAGCAUGCCUUCAAACUGUUUUCAUGCUGAUGGAACAAGAGAAGUCUAUUGGUCCCGGUGACCUAAGGUCUAGAUGCUAAACUCUCAGUAGCAAUACAGUGUGCAUUUUCCAGAUCUAUUUUCUGUACUUAUAUCUCAAGAACAAAGCAAGGCAGUAGCUGAACCAGCCAGGAAUUCCAGGUCUUUACCAUCAUCUCUUCUUCUGAAAUACCCAUUAUGCAUAACAACAUCUUCCAUAUGUACCUGAGCAAUGAAUAGUGAUGAAAUAAAUUAAAUUUGCACAAUUAUUCAUCCAGUCAUCCAUUGAUUGAUUUUGCUAGCUAUAUACUGAAAUAACAGCACAGUGUUUGACAUUGUUCAAGAAAUGAAGCAAGUGUGUAAAUACACUGCCUGCUCUCAAAGGAGAUUAUAACAACACAAAAUGAAAUGACCAGAAUACACUCACUUCCCUUUUGCUUCUAACUUCGUCU